CUGAGGAACAAAGCGAAGCGGGAGCAGAAUGCCGGGCUGCGGCACCAGAGGGAGCGUUGCAAGGAGCGCAGCUUGGAGGCGGCGGUGCUGGAGAAGCGUGUCAGUGAGCUGCCAGAGCGCCUGGGGAAGAGAAAGGCAGCUCUGCCGCAGGAGGAGAAGGUACCGGUUUCUUCAGGUGGGAAUUCCCCACAGCCAGUGGCUUCUGCUCCAAGGGGAGUGGCAGCAGUAGGUCCUUCUGUCCAGUCCUCUGCUAUGCCACGUCUUGCUUCCAGACCGGACCUUUGGGUGAAAGCAGCAUUCUCAGGUGGGACACGAGCCUUGCCGGGCAGCUGAGGGGCUGCUAAAACCACAAACUCUGCCCAACGUGGGAGCUGGGAACCGUUCUCAAACUAAAGCUCCUGCAGGGGAAGGCUCUCUGGCGAGCGGGGCCAGGAAGAACUGGAGUUUGUGGAGAACAAAAGCUGGAAGCGUGCCCCUGAAAAUCCCCCCCCCCGGGCGGUCAGUGGGCUGACUGGCACGGCCCGGUGGCCUUGGCCAGGAGCGGUCCUGCGGGAAGCGCCUUUGCCCGGGCUGUCCUUUGAAUUCCCACUGGGUGC
Long non-coding RNA from Chiroxiphia lanceolata (lance-tailed manakin), 596 nucleotides. RefSeq lists it as uncharacterized. The transcript is spliced from 3 exons. The record is from RefSeq and is a predicted model, not a curated record. Lineage: Eukaryota; Metazoa; Chordata; Aves; Passeriformes; Pipridae.